UUAGGGUAAACGCUGCGAGUAAUCGUAGAGGAAAGUCCAUGCUCACAUAAGCUGAGAUGCUUAUAAAGUUCGCGCUAGAGAAAAUGAUAACUCUAGAUAGUAGAAAUACUAAUGGCGACGAAUUAACCUAAGCCUUGGUAUGGUUAUAGUAGUCAUAAAGUGUCAUAGAGACGAAUAGUUCGGAAACGAAUGAAGUGGAACGUGAUAAACCCCACGAGUGAGAAACUCAAAUUUUGGUAGAGGAGCUUUAACUAGGGAAUUGAACCGAUGUUAGGGACUAGGUAACUAGUAGAUAAAUGUUUACCACCUAGAAAUAGGUACAGAACAUGGCUUAUU
Molecule: RNase P RNA, 336 nt
Filed under: bovine gut metagenome
Description: Bacterial RNase P class B
Rfam family: Bacterial RNase P class B
About the family: Ribonuclease P (RNase P) is a ubiquitous endoribonuclease, found in archaea, bacteria and eukarya as well as chloroplasts and mitochondria.
Source: RNAcentral